ACAGCAGCAGCCGCGGGAAUACGUAGGGUGCAAGCGUUAAUCGGAAUUACUGGGCGUAAAGCGUGCGCAGGCGGUUAUAUAAGACAGAUGUGAAAUCCCCGGGCUCAACCUGGGAACUGCAUUUGUGACUGUAUAGCUAGAGUACGUCAGAGGGGGAUGGAAUUCCGCGUGUAGCAGUGAAAUGCGUAGAUAUGCGGAGGAACACCGAUGGCGAAGGCAAUCCCCUGGGCCUGUACUGACGCUCAUGCACGAAAGCGUGGGGAGCAAACAGGAUUAGAUACCCGAGUAGUCCCUGUCUCUUAUAC
This 305-nucleotide ribosomal RNA is filed under the name uncultured bacterium. Its description in RNAcentral is "partial 16S ribosomal RNA". It matches the Rfam family "Bacterial small subunit ribosomal RNA", at positions 505 to 807 of the family's 1533-position model. The record is from RNAcentral.